GUGAGCCACAAUGGAUGCAAGAUGAUGAAGCUCCAAUUGGAAAGGAAGAAUAUGUUCACAGUAGAUGAGAGUGUGGCAGCUGUUUUAGGUCCUCGACUACUGCAUGGAUGUUUUCUGUAGCAUCAGCUCUGUUGCCACUCCUCACCAUUCAUCUGCAAAAGCUGCACAUACCUGACUCACCUGCCCUUUUUUAGGGUGACUUCAGUGGUUUGCAGAUGAACAGCAAAAGUGGAAAUCAGAAUAUAUCAAUACAUUGCCUUUCUCAAGGCACUGUAGUUGCAGACGAGAUCCCAGGAGAUGCAGAGGGCACUAUGAGGAGGAAAGGAUAUAUGGGCAC
RNAcentral lists this long non-coding RNA (337 nucleotides) under Cyanistes caeruleus (blue tit). RNAcentral's name for it is "lncRNA (ENSCCEG00000022600.1)". Lineage: Eukaryota; Metazoa; Chordata; Aves; Passeriformes; Paridae. The record is from RNAcentral.